GCAAGAUGCAGCUUUAAAAAAUGGUAGUUAUACCCCGCAUGAUUAACUACAGGAUUUAACAUUCAGGGGGCGGACUCUUCCCCCUGAGUGUAUGCCU
RNAcentral lists this non-coding RNA (97 nucleotides) under unclassified sequences. RNAcentral describes it as "RAGATH-23 RNA". It matches the Rfam family "RAGATH-23 RNA". Rfam says of the family: Environmental. Nearby to self-cleaving ribozyme genes The record is from Rfam by way of RNAcentral.